This 76-nucleotide transfer RNA is filed under the name Parasteatoda tepidariorum (common house spider). Its description in RNAcentral is "transfer RNA isoleucine (anticodon AAU)". It matches the Rfam family "tRNA". Rfam says of the family: Transfer RNA (tRNA) molecules are approximately 80 nucleotides in length. Their secondary structure includes four short double-helical elements and three loops (D, anti-codon, and T loops). The record is from RNAcentral. Lineage: Eukaryota; Metazoa; Arthropoda; Arachnida; Araneae; Theridiidae.
UGUGGCCCAUUAGCUCAGUUGGUUAGAGCGUCGUGCUAAUAACGCGAAGGUCGUGGGUUCGAUCCCAUGGCCAGAA